AGCCAUUUUCUUGAAGGCUAUUAAGCUUACGACCCUUUCAGAGUACUGAGAUGAAAAAUCUAGAAUGCCUUCGGGUCUAGUUAUCAAUUUUGGGGGUGAAGCGGGGGAAAGAACCUCGCCAGUCAGACCCAGACGGGUUUCAUUCAAGGUGCCCUUCAACGUUUUUCCUUAGUCUUUGGAAAGAACUAGUAAUGAAGGAAUCGCAGAAGAUGGGGUUUUGGCUUUUUAAAUAUGCGAUCCAAGCGGCAGGGUAGGGACUAAAGUAGGUCAACAGCCAACUCCGAGAAAGGAGUGUGGUCCUUUAAGGGUGUGCGCCAAGGGGCGGAGUCUAGAGCGGAAGUAGUAACUCCGGGCCGAAGUCCGGUGGAUGAAGGGCGGAAGUAGAGUGUCUAAUCCUGCAGUCAUGGCGCAGGAAGAGGAAGAUGUUAGAGAUUACAAUUUGACUGAAGAACAGAAGGCGAUCAAGGCCAAGUAUCCGCCAGUCAAUAGGAAGUACGAGUAUUUGGAUCAUACAGCAGAUGUCCAGUUACACGCAUGGGGAGAUACUCUGGAGGAAGCAUUUGAGCAAUGUGCAAUGGCCAUGUUUGGUUACAUGACAGAUACUGGGACAGUGGAGCCCCUCCAAACAGUAGAAGUAGAAACCCAAGGAGAUGACUUACAGUCUCUUCUGUUUCACUUUUUGGAUGAAUGGCUUUAUAAGUUCAGUGCUGAUGAAUUCUUCAUACCCCGGAAAAGGUUGUAAAGGCCAGGCGCGGUGGCUUACGCCUGUAAUCCCAGCACUUUGGGAAGCCGAGGCAGGUGGAUCACCUGAGGUCAGGAGUUCGAGACCAGUCUGACCAAUAAGGAAGUGAAAGUACUUAGCAUUGAUCAAAGAAAUUUCAAAUUACGAUCAAUUGGAUGAGGUCUCCCUAUGUUGCUCAGGCUGUUCUCAAACUCCUGGGCUCAAGCGAUCCUCCCUUUGGCCUCCGGAAGUGCCAGGAUUAUAGGUGGGGAGAAGAAUUUUCAUUGUCCAAGCACCCUCAGGGAACAGAAGUCAAAGCAAUAACAUAUUCAGCAAUGCAGGUCUAUAAUGAAGAGAACCCGGAAGUUUUUGUGAUCAUUGACAUUUAAGACACCAAAAAAUAAAAGACUCCUACGAAGAACUGUUUUUGUUUUCCUCUUCCUUUUGAGAAGACACUAUGAAUUAAAUUCUACAGCUUUUUUUUGAUAUAUGGAAAUUUGUAGAACAGAAAUAUUUUAGUUAAAGUGUGACUUUCAGAAAGGGAAAAUCAGGGCACAGCCUUGGUCUGUGUUCCCCAAAUAUUCACACUUUAAAGAAUUCUUCAACCCCCCAAGGGACAGUUAUGGUCCUUUGAUUCUCUGCUGUGGCAGUAGGUGUGCCUCAUGCCCUUCCAGUGCAAUGCAAGCCCUCCAGCCUCACCCCAGAGAGGAUCACUGAUGUCAGCAGCAGCCUGAGGCUGAAUCCAGGUUGAAAGAAGAAUAACUUGAAAAAAUAUAUUUCCACACACAGAAUUUUGUUUUUCUUCCAAGUUGGUUAAGACAUAUAUUUUGUUUCUUUUUUUUUUUUUUUUUUGAGACGGAGUCUCGCUCUGUAGCCCAGGCUGAAGCGCAGUGGUGUGAGCUCGGCUUACUGCAAGCUCCACCUCCCGGGUUCACGCCAUUCUCCUACCUCAGCCUCCCGAGUAGCUGGGACUAUAGGCACCCGCCACCAUGCCCGGCUAAUUUUUGUAUCUUUAGUAGAGACGGGGUUUCACUGUGUUAGCUAGGAUGGUCUUGAUCUCCUGACCUUGUGAUCCGCCCACCUUGGCCUCCCAAGGUACUGCGAUUACAGGCAUGAGCUACCAUGCCCGGCCACAAGACAUAGAUUUUCUAUAUGCACAUCAAGGGAGGUGCUGGUUUAGGUUGCUAUAGGACAGAGCUAUCCUGUAUUCCAGUUGGUUUUUGUAGAGAAACAAUUAGACUUCUCUAGAUAGAGCCCUGAUUUUUCUCUCACGCUUUCAGUUUUUUAAAAGCACUAAUGAUAUUUCCUGUUUUCUCAUAAGAAAAAGUCAAUACUAUGCCUUACAAAGAGACCUUUCCUUCUAAUAUAGAAUUUUAUUUGAAAGUGAGUACAUGUUUAUAACUAGAGAAUAAAAGGAGAAUUUUUGAAAAA
This is an RNA transcript of Homo sapiens (human), 2152 nucleotides long. It is a transcript of the gene named tRNA splicing ligase complex subunit 1, with no coding region annotated. The transcript has 9 exons. The record is from RefSeq and is marked validated. Lineage: Eukaryota; Metazoa; Chordata; Mammalia; Primates; Hominidae.